This 253-nucleotide ribosomal RNA is filed under the name uncultured bacterium. RNAcentral's name for it is "partial 16S ribosomal RNA". It matches the Rfam family "Bacterial small subunit ribosomal RNA", at positions 524 to 776 of the family's 1533-position model. The record is from RNAcentral.
UACGUAGGGUGCGAGCGUUAAUCGGAAUUACUGGGCGUAAAGCGUGCGCAGGCGGUUCGUUGUGUCGGUGGUGAAAUCCCCGGGCUUAACCUGGGAAUGGCCAUGGAAACUGGCGAACUGGAGUGCGGCAGGGGGGGGUGGAAUUCCGCGUGUAGCAGUGAAAUGCGUAGAGAUGCGGAGGAACACCGAUGGCGAAGGCAGCCCCCUGGGCUAGCACUGACGCUCAGGCACGAAAGCGUGGGGAGCAAACAGG